GGAUGAAUCUUGCGCAAUGGCCUAACGGCUGACGCAGCGACGCCGCGUGAGGGAUGACGCUCUUCGGAGUGUAAACCUCUUUUGCCCGGGACGAAUUGCCAACUUUCGUUGGCUUGACGGUACCGGGUGAAUAAGCACCGGCUAACUCCGUGCCAGCAGCCGCGGUAAUACGGGGGGUGCGAGCGUUGUCCGGAAUCACUGGGCGUAAAGGGCGCGUAGGUGGUCUUAUAAGGGUGUGGUGAAAGCCCGGGGCUCAACCCCGGGUCGGCCGUGCCGACUGUAAGACUCGAGUGCUGUAGGGGCAGGCGGAAUUCCGGGUGUAGCGGUGGAAUGCGUAGAGAUCCGGAGGAAGACCGGUGGCGAAGGCGGCCUUGCUGGGCAGUUACUGACACUGAGGCGCGACAGCGUGGGGAGCAAACA
Molecule: ribosomal RNA, 420 nt
Filed under: uncultured Gemmatimonas sp.
Lineage: Bacteria; Pseudomonadati; Gemmatimonadota; Gemmatimonadia; Gemmatimonadales; Gemmatimonadaceae
Description: bacterial SSU rRNA
Rfam family: Bacterial small subunit ribosomal RNA
Source: RNAcentral